Molecule: ribosomal RNA, 468 nt
Filed under: uncultured bacterium
Lineage: Bacteria
Description: partial 16S ribosomal RNA
Rfam family: Bacterial small subunit ribosomal RNA
Source: RNAcentral
GACGAACGCUGGCGGCGUGCUUAACACAUGCAAGUCGAACGGAAAGGCCCUGCUUUUGUGGGGUGCUCGAGUGGCGAACGGGUGAGUAACACGUGAGUAACCUGCCCUUGACUUUGGGAUAACUUCAGGAAACUGGGGCUAAUACCGGCUAGGAGCUCCUGCUGCAUGGUGGGGGUUGGAAAGUUUCGGCGGUUGGGGAUGGACUCGCGGCUUAUCAGCUUGUUGGUGGGGUAGUGGCUUACCAAGGCUUUGACGGGUAGCCGGCCUGAGAGGGGGACCGGCCACAUUGGGACUGAGAUACGGCCCAGACUCCUACGGGAGGCAGCAGUGGGGAAUAUUGCACAAUGGGCGGAAGCCUGAUGCAGCAACGCCGCGUGCGGGAUGACGGCCUUCGGGUUGUAAACCGCUUUCGCCUGUGACGAAGCGUGAGUGACGGUAAUGGGUAAAGAAGCACCGGCUAACUACGUG